RNAcentral lists this transfer RNA (73 nucleotides) under Bacillus phage Deep Blue. Lineage: Duplodnaviria; Heunggongvirae; Uroviricota; Caudoviricetes; Herelleviridae. The record is from Rfam by way of RNAcentral. RNAcentral also lists the same sequence under 1 other name.
GUGGAUGUAGGCUAGUUGGUCAGUCACCUCGUUUGGGGCGAGGGUCACGCACGUUCGAAUCGUGUCAUCCGCA